UACGGGGGGGGUAAGCGUUGAUCGGAAUUACUGGGCGUAAAGGGCUCGUAGGCGGCCAACUAAGUCAGACGUGAAAUCCCUCAGCUUAACUGGGGAACUGCGUCUGAUACUGGAUGGCUUGGAUUCGGGAGAGGAAUGCGGAAUUCCAGGUGUAGCGGUGAAAUGCGUAGAUAUCGGGAGGAACACCUGUGGCGAAGGCGGCCAUCUGGACGUUCACUGACGCUGAGACGCGAAAGCGUGGGUAGCAAACAGG
RNAcentral lists this ribosomal RNA (253 nucleotides) under uncultured bacterium. RNAcentral describes it as "partial 16S ribosomal RNA". It matches the Rfam family "Bacterial small subunit ribosomal RNA", at positions 524 to 776 of the family's 1533-position model. The record is from RNAcentral.